AAAAUCCCUUCUUACCUCACUUUCUAUCCAACAUUUCAUUCUCUCAUCCGAGAUCUUAUUUGUCUAUCACUUACUCUGUCACUCAUCUCAUUAAACCUCAUUUGCUUCCAAGGUUAGAUCUAUUAUCCUUUCUUCUAUUAUGAUUUUUUGUUCGUAUUUUCGUUCUCAUCAAACCUCAUGUUUUGAACUAAAAGUUUGUUCCUUUGUGUAAUGAUU
This 216-nucleotide long non-coding RNA is filed under the name Lathyrus oleraceus (garden pea). RNAcentral's name for it is "Pisum sativum (pea) long non-coding RNA (PSAT_LNC028570)". The record is from RNAcentral. Lineage: Eukaryota; Viridiplantae; Streptophyta; Magnoliopsida; Fabales; Fabaceae.